RNAcentral lists this ribosomal RNA (298 nucleotides) under uncultured bacterium. RNAcentral's name for it is "partial 16S ribosomal RNA". It matches the Rfam family "Bacterial small subunit ribosomal RNA", at positions 333 to 647 of the family's 1533-position model. The record is from RNAcentral.
UUUUUCCUACGGGGCGCAGCAGUGGGGGAUAUUGCACAAUGGGGGGAACCCUGAUGCAGCGACGCCGCGUGGGUGAAGGAGCGUUUCGGCGCGUAAAGCCCUCUCGGCAGGGAAGAAGGAGGACGGUACCUGACUAAGAAGCCCCGGCUAACUACGUGCCAGCAGCCGCGGUAAUACGUAGGGGGCAAGCGUUAUCCGGAUUUACUGGGUGUAAAGGGAGCGUAGACGGCAGCACACGUCUGGAGUGAAAUCCCGGGGCUUAACCCCGGAACUGCUUUGGACACUGUGCGGCUGGCGU